AGAAAUAAUUUAAAUGAACUUCUAAUUCAUUAUUUUAUGAUAUACAUAAGUCAUAUUAUUUCUA
This 64-nucleotide transfer RNA is filed under the name Pheidole smythiesii. Its description in RNAcentral is "tRNA-Ser". The record is from RNAcentral. Lineage: Eukaryota; Metazoa; Arthropoda; Insecta; Hymenoptera; Formicidae.